UUUUAUGUAUGUUACAUCAGAACUUUUGCCCGUGUGGACCGAUUUCGACAAAUUUUCUUUUAAUCGAAAGGUGAUGUGUGCCAAUUGGUCCCAUUUAAAUUUAUUUGAGAUCUAACAACUACUUUUCGAGUUAUAUCUAAGUACCUGGGUGACCGAGCCCAGCUCGGUAUUUUUAGUAAAUCGUGAAGGAUUAGUAGUAGAAGAGAG
RNAcentral lists this unclassified non-coding RNA (207 nucleotides) under Melitaea cinxia (Glanville fritillary). Its description in RNAcentral is "misc RNA ENSMCXG00005006432.1". Lineage: Eukaryota; Metazoa; Arthropoda; Insecta; Lepidoptera; Nymphalidae. The record is from RNAcentral.